GAUGUUGACGUAAGUUAACGUCAAUUUUGGACGCCAUAAAAUGACUGGAGGAAUGUAGCUUCGAUCUCGUAUUGAAGUGUUAUAGCCUUUGGUAGAUGUGGUUUUCGAGAUUGAGGAUUGCAACGGAUACCCUUCGGGGCUACCUAUCUGAUCUCUGAUCGUUGCUCUGGUGGCGAAAGCUUGCUUACGGAUAUCAAAGUCGAUGGUCAAUAGGUUAGAAUAGGUUAAAUUCGUUAAGGAUGUUGACGUAA
This 251-nucleotide ribosomal RNA is filed under the name uncultured fungus. RNAcentral's name for it is "partial large subunit ribosomal RNA". The record is from RNAcentral. Lineage: Eukaryota; Fungi.